RNAcentral lists this ribosomal RNA (113 nucleotides) under Panthera tigris altaica (Amur tiger). Lineage: Eukaryota; Metazoa; Chordata; Mammalia; Carnivora; Felidae. The record is from RNAcentral.
GACAUUUGAUAGAGACUGUUGAAGCCACCUGGUCCCAGCAGACCCUGGAAAGCAGCCACAUUCGCUGGUGCUGGGGCAAGGUCGCUGAGGGUAAAACUUGGUGCCAGAUGUUU